UCUAGGACAAGCUGCUGAAAGACAAGCAAAUCCUCAGAAAUACUGGUAUCAAGCAGCUUCACACCUUGAAGGACAGCAGCAGGACAAGGAACAAUGACAGUAACUACUGAAUUGGCCUGUGAACUGGAUGACUAGUGGUGAGGUCACACCAGGAAAUGAAUGGCGACGGCGAGCAGGCAACCCCAAUUCAGUUUGCAUUUUUUAAUGGACAAGAUGUAAGACAUGUAUCAACCCGGGAGCUGAAGCUAUGGAGCCAGAGCUAACGCCGGGAUCAUCUAUCCCUGCACACAACCACAACCCAGGAGAGAGUCCACUCCACAGGAUUAACUACUACGAAACCCUUCUACUCCAAGUUUAAAGCCACAGGUCCCUUUUGUGUCUUCAAAGAGAUUUGUACCUGAAAUCCUGCUGUGGGGUCACUGUCCACAUAUCUGCCUGCAGCCUGAGCUGAAGACAUGCUGAGGAGCUCCUGUCUGUACUGCUACUGUCUGUGUACCAUAUGUUUGCUACUUGUGCUUGGGAUUUUUACUGGAUAUUGCUCAAACCGGGCAUUGUUUGAGCUGGACACUGUUUUAAUACUAUCUGAACUGGACAGAAAUUGAAAUUGGACACUGAGUUCUUUGGAUUUAGGCUGUUAUCCGAUAUAUUAUGUGCAAAUUUCCCCCCAAAAUUAGAUACUCCUUAUAGAGUUUAUCGUUUUUGAGUGCAGCAGGCAAUGUGUACCCUCUAUCCCAUGAAGCUCUACAUGAGUGCUGGCUACAUGGUAUCCUACACCGCUCCCACCAUGCAUCUGGGGGUUCUGUUUCACCGGGGUCUGUUCUGGGAGUAGUUCUUGUUUUUAGGAGAUACUGGAUCGCCACCACAAAAGGCAGUGGCGUAAAUUAUUAAAUUUGCGGUCAAUACCACACACCUUAAAUAUACCAGGGAAAAAGAAAUGGAAAAUAGGAAACCUAAUCCUUUCUGCAUAAGCCUUUUAAAUACACAUCUUUGUUAAUUGCUGACCAAAUUCUGGGAUCAGAACAAGAUGCCCUUUGUAUAACAGAAACCUGGCUGGGCAAAAAUGAUAUCCUACCCCUAAAAGAGGUCUGCCCGCCUGGGUUUUCUUUACUACAUAAACCCUGUGAGGGUAAAUGUGGCGGGGGUGUUGCAAUCUGUUCUCACAUUAGAUUUGUUUUACAUAAACUAGAUAGUAUAUCCUAUAGCUCAUUUUAGCAUCUGUUAUUUUCUCUCCGAGCAGCUGUCCUUCUUGUCUCCUGUCACUCUAGACUUUUGACUGUGGGUGAUUUUAACAUCCAUAUAGACAACUAAUUGAAUAACCUUUCUAAAAAUGUCACUCCUCUUUUAGAUUCUUUAAACCUGAAUCAGCGUAUCGCAACACCUACCCACAUUAACGGACAUACUCUAUAUAUGGUUAUUACAUUAGAUUUCUCUCCUAGUAACCUUUUCCUUGCUCCACUUUAUUUCUCUGAUCAUGUUCUUGUUUCUUUUGAUAUUGCUUCACCUCUUCCUGCUGUAGUGCCACACACUGUUGUCUGUUAUAUUUAAAUCCCGUUGACUUUCAUAUCUAGUUAAGUUAACUAGCUUGGUUGUGGAUUCGAUGCUAAAUGCUGCACUGUUAUUAUCAACUGAUGAGGCAGUUGCCCUGUAUAAUUCUACUAUAUCCAGCCCUGUAUAAUUCUACUAUAUGCUUUUCUCCCUGGUACACUGAGGAUCUUAAGGGCUUAAAAAGUGAAGGUUGCAGUUUGGAACAAAAAUGGAGGGCAUCUGGGCUCUAUGUUGACCUGGAAGACACAUACGAAAAAAUAUCAAUUGGCCUUGACCACUGCAAAAUCAUCUUAUCUCUCUAAUAUUAUUUCCACUGGUAAAAAUUGGCCAAAAGGAUUGUUUAAUACUGUUGAUAAACUUUUAAAAUCUAAAACAAUUAACCCAGUGCAUGGAGAUCAAACUGACACUUGUGAAAACUUUUUACAAUUUUUUACAAAUAAAAUUGAAGUGAUUAGGACCCAGUUGCCCUUUGCCAUUAGUACUGCCGUCCCCUCUACUCCAGAUUGUUAUUCAACUAUGACUGCUAUUUUUAAGAAAUGUACAGCAAUAACUGAGGCUGAUCUAAAGACUGUCAUAACUAAACUAAAUCCUACAACCUGUGGUUUGGAACCUUGGCCUACCUGGCUUAUUAGGGAGUGUUCUCCUAUCCUGGGUCCCGCUUUAACUCAUAUUGUUAACUUCUCUUUGACAUGUGGAAGGGUUCCCUCAACACUAAAACUGGCUGAAAUUAAACAACUUCUAUAAAACAUAACUUUCCCCCACACGAUCUUACAAAUUAUAGGCCUAUUUCCAACAUCCCUUUUCUAGCAAAGCUGAUUGGAAAAGUUGUGACUGCCCAGCUUCAGGGUCAUUUUUGUAAAUAUGGCCUAUUGGAAAAGUUUCAGUCAGAUUUUCACUCUGGUCAUAGUACUGAGACACCCCUUUGAGGGUCUGUAACGACCUCCUCUGUAUUGUCGACACAGGAAAAAUGUUUAUUCUAGUGUCAUUUGAUCUGUCUGGUGGUUUUGACACUGUGGAUCAUGCGAUCUUACUGGAGAGGUUACAAAAUGAUAUUGGAAUUCCAGGCACUGCCUUGGAAUGGUUUCGCUCCUGUCUAUUAUCAAUUAUGGCACUCAGGUCUAUUGUUCCCUUCCUACAAAACAAGAGGUGCCAGUUUCUUUGCUGUCUCCAUACCUGAGCAAAGUUUAAUUAUGGAUGGCUGAAAACUUAUUUAAAAUAAAUCCUAGUAAAACACUGAUAUUAUUAGUGUGCUCCAAAAACACUAAAGUCUCACUAAAUCAUCUAGUAUUGAAGUGUCAUUUCAUGGUAAUCUAACUCCAUUUUAUUCAGACCCAUUUUAUCUGAUAAAGAAGCUGAGAUGUUUGUUCAUGCUCUUGUUCUUUCUUGGCUGGAUUAUUGUAAUGCUUUGUUUGUCGGCCUCCCUGAUUCUAAGUAACGUAGGCUCCAACUAGUUCAAAAUGCUGCAGCUAGAAUGCACCAGCCGUUUACAACAUAUCACUCAAAUUCUUAGAUCGCUGCACUUGCUUCCCGUUAAAAUUUAGGACUGAUUUUUAAAUUCUGCUCACUACUUAUAAGGCACUACAUGGCCUUGGUCUUCAAUAUUUGCAGGAUUUUUUGGUGCCAUAUGUUGUUAGUCGCAGCUUGCACUCAGUAAAUACUGAAGAAUUGGUGUUUUCCAGAAGUCGCUUAAAAUCAGGAGGGCCUUUAGUUGUUAUGCCCCAUGCCUCUGGAACUCUGUUGGCACAGUUGAAUCUUUUAAAUCAGUUUUAAAAACACAUUUCUGAGCUGGGUUAAUUUGCCAAUGGCUUUUUAUUAUUUUAAGUUUUUACUGUAAAGUACCCCGGGAUACUCUGCAGGAAGAGCGCUGUAUAAAAGCUAAUUGUUGUUGUUGUUGUUGCUGACAGCAUGACAAAGAAUUGAACUAUAGGUAUAUUAAAGCAACAGGUUGUUAAAGGAUGUACAACAGGUAUUCUAGACUGCAAAUGAACACACCUUUUUUACCAACACCAUAAUUGUCUUUCAUAUUUUUUCAUUGAGCUCCAGAAUGAUUAUAGUAAAACAGAACAGCAGAUACACUAUUCUCUGACCUGGACAUUAGCAAGGUAAGGCAGAGUCUGAGUCAAGGGACGCAAAAGCACACCUGAUUACUGACAAUGUAUAUUUGACCAUUUAACAGAUGUUCAUUUUAAUCUUGAGAAUAUCGAGUCAGAUGUCUGUGCAACUAAUAAUGUAGUAUUACUGUAGCUCCUGGGGGACGAUAACAAUAAAUGGUCUGUCCAGGGCAAACCAUGCAUUCUUUAGAAUUUCUGAAGAUUAUGUCUAGUACACAUUGAACUAUGACAUGUGUAGUUAAAUACAUUUUUUUAUUAUUAUAUAUAGUAUGUAGUUUCUUUUUCUUUCCUUCUAAUUAUGCACAUAUGUAGCAGGUGUAUAUAUUAUAUGUGUUCCAAAUAAGGGCAUAGUACUGUAUAGAAAAAGUGCAUGCCACAUUACAACAAGGGGAAAUUGAUUUAAUACAUGCUAAUAAUUUGACAAUGGAAUACAAACUUAAAAACAAAUACUGUACUAAUUUGGAUAAUUAGAAGGUAAUGUGUCUUUAAAUGUGCUUUUGGAAAGUUGCCUAUGAAAGGCUGUUAAUAAAUCAAAUUGGCACUGCAUAAUGCACUUGUUUUGUUGCCGCAUCAGUUUCAGGGUCAACAAAAAUCCCUGUGGCAAAGGAACAUUUACCAGUAAUAUAUUGUGACUGCUACUCUUACACUUCACUGCAUUUUUUUUUUUUUUAUCAUAUAUCUAGAACAUUUAGUUUGGGCGUUUUUGAUAAUUGAUUAAUCACGAAUUGAUUAAUCACAAAUUGAUUAACAUGCAUAAUGUGCAAUGUGUAAUUUACAUGGGAAUGCACUGUAAGUGUGCAAUAAAUUAGUUGCAGUGUCAUAGGUAACAAUUAAAAUGACUGUAGCAAGUCAGAGCCCUGCUUGUAAAUAAGUGUUGUGUUUGUGGGUUUAUAGUGGUGGUUAGCAGGGAUAGGGUUAAUUCCUAUCCCUGCCAAAUACAUAUGAGAAUGCGACUGUUCCCAAAUUAGAAAAUUGGUGCUAAUUGAGAGAGAGAGAGAGAGAGAGAGAGAGAGAGAGACAGAUAGAUGCUCCUGUUUAUAUUUAAACUUACCGUGAUAGUGCGAGGUUUUGUUUGUCAUUUCUAUUUGAAAAAUAAACACUAGCAGCUCUUCAGCUUUGUGUCUCCUUCCAACCUCCUGACCACCUUAGGCACCCGACUAGCCUGUUGCAUCGAUUUAUAUUAAUUUUGUAAAAACAUGAUGAUUUUCUGAGGUCAAGCUGGUGUACUAGUUAUUUUCUAAGCAAUAGUUUAUAAGGGAAUCCGUUGCAGCUAUACAAAUUUAUUGCUUCAGGGUACACCCGUCUCAACUGGUAACAUUUGGUCACGUGG
Molecule: long non-coding RNA, 4986 nt
Organism: Polyodon spathula (Mississippi paddlefish)
Lineage: Eukaryota; Metazoa; Chordata; Actinopteri; Acipenseriformes; Polyodontidae
Exons: 5
Source: RefSeq, a predicted model, not a curated record